RNAcentral lists this ribosomal RNA (468 nucleotides) under uncultured bacterium. RNAcentral's name for it is "partial 16S ribosomal RNA". It matches the Rfam family "Bacterial small subunit ribosomal RNA", at positions 28 to 507 of the family's 1533-position model. The record is from RNAcentral.
GACGAACGCUGGCGGCGUGCUUAACACAUGCGAGUCGAACGGAAAGGCCCUGCUUUUGUGGGGUGCUCGAGUGGCGAACGGGUGAGUAACACGUGAGUAACCUGCCCUUGACUUUGGGAUAACUUCAGGAAACUGGGGCUAAUACCGGAUAGGAGCUCCUGCUGCAUGGUGGGGGUUGGAAAGUUUCGGCGGUUGGGGAUGGACUCGCGGCUUAUCAGCUUGUUGGUGGGGUAGUGGCUUACCAAGGCUUUGACGGGUAGCCGGCCUGAGAGGGUGACCGGCCACAUUGGGACUGAGAUACGGCCCAGACUCCUACGGGAGGCAGCAGUGGGGAAUAUUGCACAAUGGGCGGAAGCCUGAUGCAGCAACGCCGCGUGCGGGAUGACGGCCUUCGGGUUGUGAACCGCUUUCGCCUGUGACGAAGCGUGAGUGACGGUAAUGGGUAAAGAAGCACCGGCUAACUACGUG